This 433-nucleotide ribosomal RNA is filed under the name uncultured bacterium. Its description in RNAcentral is "partial 16S ribosomal RNA". It matches the Rfam family "Bacterial small subunit ribosomal RNA", at positions 29 to 507 of the family's 1533-position model. The record is from RNAcentral.
AACGAACGCUGGCGGCAUGCCUAACACAUGCAAGUCGAACGAGACCUUCGGGACUAGUGGCGCACGGGUGCGUAACGCGUGGGAACCUGACCAUAGGUUCGGAAUAACUCUCCGAAAGGGGUGCUAAUACGGGAUAAGGUCUUCUGACCAAAGAUUUAUCGUCUUUGGAUGGGCACGCGUUGGAUUAGCUAGUUGGGAGGGUAAAAGCCUACCACGGCGACGAUCCAUAGAUGGUCUGAGAGGAAGAUCAGCCACACUGGGACUAGGACACGGCCCAGACUCCUACGGGAGGCAGCAGUGGGGAAUAUUGGACAAUGGGCGAAAUCCUGAUCCAGCAAGGCCGCGUGAGUGAUGAAGGCCUUAGGGUUGUAAAGCUCUUUUACCCGGGAUGAUAAUGACAGUACCGGGAGAAUAAGCUCCGGCUAACUACGUG